CAUUCAUUUAAGGUCACUUAUGAUACUAUAAAGAUUUUGUAUGCAGCCAAACAACCCCAAAUUAGUUCCCGCGCAUACCAAAAUUUAGAACCCCGCGCACACCAAAGUUUGGAAUCCCAGCGCGCACCUCCGCCUACAGCUAAAAAGGAAGAAAAAAACAUAAAAAUUAGGUGUUGAGCCCAAUAGCCCAACUGCCCUUCAGUACUAGCCUGUUCAGCCCAUGGUUUUAUGGCCA
Molecule: long non-coding RNA, 235 nt
Filed under: Sorghum bicolor (sorghum)
Lineage: Eukaryota; Viridiplantae; Streptophyta; Magnoliopsida; Poales; Poaceae
Description: long non-coding RNA (SBIC_LNC005125)
Source: RNAcentral